This 497-nucleotide ribosomal RNA is filed under the name uncultured bacterium. RNAcentral's name for it is "partial 16S ribosomal RNA". It matches the Rfam family "Bacterial small subunit ribosomal RNA", at positions 28 to 507 of the family's 1533-position model. The record is from RNAcentral.
GAUGAACGCUGGCGGCGUGCCUAAUACAUGCAAGUCGAGCGAACGGACGAGAAGUUUGCUUCUCUGAUGUUAGCGGCGGACGGGUGAGUAACACGUGGAUAACCUACCUAUAAGCCUGGGAUAACUUCGGAAAACCGGAGCUAAUACCGGAUAAUAUUUUGAACCGCAUGGUUCAAAAUUGAAAGACGGUCUUGCUGCCACUGAUAGAUGGUGCCGCGCUGCAUUAGCUAGUUGGUAAGGUAACGGCUUACCAAGGCAACGAUGCAUAGCAGACCUGAGAGGGUGAUCGGCCACACUGGAACUGAGACACGGUCCAGACUCCGACGGGAGGCAGCAGUAGGGAAUCUUCCGCAAUGGGCGAAAGCCUGACGGAGCAACGCCGCGUGAGUGAUGAAGGUCUUCGGAUCGUAAAACUCUGUUAUUAGGGAAGAACAUAUGUGUAAGUAACUGUGCACGUCUUGACGGUACCUAAUCAGAAAGCCACGGCUAACUACGUG